GACGAACGCUGGCGGCGUGCUUAACACAUGCAAGUCGAACGGAAAGGCCCUGCUCUUGUGGGGUGCUCGAUUGGCGAACGGGUGAGUAACACGUGAGUAACCUGCCCUUGACUUUGGGAUAACUUCAGGAAACUGGGGCUAAUACCGGAUAGGAGCUCCUGCUGCAUGGUGGGGGUUGGAAAGUUUCGGCGGUUGGGGAUGGACUCGCGGCGUAUCAGCUUGUUGGUGGGGUUGUGGCUUACCGAGGCUUUGACGGGUAGCCGGCCUGAGAGGGUGACCGGCGACAUUGGGACUGAGGGACGGCACAGGCUGCUACGGGAGGCAGCAGUGGGGAAUAUUGCAGGAUGGGCGGAGGCCGGAUGCAGCAACGCCGCGUGCGGGAUGACUGCCUUAGGGUUGUAAACCGCUUGCGCCUGUGACGAAGCGUGAGUGACGGUAAUGUGUAAAGAAGCACCGGCUAACUACGUG
RNAcentral lists this ribosomal RNA (468 nucleotides) under uncultured bacterium. Its description in RNAcentral is "partial 16S ribosomal RNA". It matches the Rfam family "Bacterial small subunit ribosomal RNA", at positions 28 to 507 of the family's 1533-position model. The record is from RNAcentral.